RNAcentral lists this ribosomal RNA (472 nucleotides) under Caecum glabellum. RNAcentral describes it as "partial 16S rRNA". It matches the Rfam family "Bacterial large subunit ribosomal RNA", at positions 1816 to 2579 of the family's 2925-position model. The record is from RNAcentral. Lineage: Eukaryota; Metazoa; Mollusca; Gastropoda; Littorinimorpha; Caecidae.
AGCCCCUCGAAUGUUAAAAAUGAUGGGGGGUGUGGCCUGCCCUGUGUGCUAUAAAAGCAUUAACGGCUGCAGUAUCCUGACUGUACUAAGGUAGCAUAAUCAUUUGGCCUUUCAUUGAGGUCUGGCAUGAAAGGUCGUUCGGGACUGAGCUGUCUCCUGGUUAUUUGUUAAAAAUUAUCUUUAAGGUGAAGAGACCUUACUAAAGGGGAAAGACGAGAAGACCCCGGUGAGCUUGUUUAAGGGUGUUAGUUUAGUUUGACUUCCGGUGAUUUGGCUGGGGCGUCCAGGGGACAAACAAAGCUCCCCUUUUAUGAAGAUUAACUUAAAUUAGGGAGAUCCUCCAUUGGAGCUGAACGCAAAGUUACCCCGGGGAUAACAGCAUAAUCCUCCCAAAGAGAUCUAAUCGAGGGGAGGGGUUAUGACCUCGGAUGUUGGACUAGGGGCGCUAACGGAAAUCUGUUUGGUGCAGCAG